RNAcentral lists this ribosomal RNA (472 nucleotides) under uncultured bacterium. RNAcentral's name for it is "bacterial SSU rRNA". It matches the Rfam family "Bacterial small subunit ribosomal RNA", at positions 28 to 500 of the family's 1533-position model. The record is from RNAcentral.
GAUGAACGCUGGCGGCGUGCCUAACACAUGCAAGUCGAGGGGCAGCACGGGUAGCAAUACCUGGUGGCGACCGGCGCAAGGGUGCGUAACGCGUGAGCAACAUGCCCUAUACAGGGGGAUAAUCCAGGGAAACUUGGUCUAAUAUCCCAUAGUAUUUAGAGGAGGCAUCUUCUAUAAAUUAAAGCUUCGGUGGUAUAGGAUUGGCUCGCGUGACAUUAGCUAGAUGGUGAGGUAACGGCUCACCAUGGCAAUGAUGUCUAGGGGUUCUGAGAGGAAGACCCCCCAACUGGGACUGAGACACGGCCCAGACUCCUACGGGAGGCAGCAGUGAGGAAUAUUGGACAAUGGAUGGAAAUCUGAUCCAGCCAUGCCGCGUGCAGGAAGACGGCCCUAUGGGUUGUAAACUGCUUUUAAUGGGACAAUAAGGUUACAGUAGACCGAUGAGAGUACCAUAUGAAUAAGCAUCGGCUAA